GACGAACGCUGGCGGCGUGCCUAAUACAUGCAAGUAGAACGCUGAAGAGAGGAGCUUGCUCUUCUUGGAUGAGUUGCGAACGGGUGAGUAACGCGUAGGUAACCUGCCUGGUAGCGGGGGAUAACUAUUGGAAACGAUAGCUAAUACCGCAUAAAAUUGCUUAUCGCAUGAUAAUUAAUUGAAAGAUGCAAUUGCAUCACUACCAGAUGGACCUGCGUUGUAUUAGCUAGUUGGUGAGGUAACGGCUCACCAAGGCGACGAUACAUAGCCGACCUGAGAGGGUGAUCGGCCACACUGGGACUGAGACACGGCCCAGACUCCUACGGGAGGCAGCAGUAGGGAAUCUUCGGCAAUGGGGGGAACCCUGACCGAGCAACGCCGCGUGAGUGAAGAAGGUUUUCGGAUCGUAAAGCUCUGUUGUAAGAGAAGAACGGGUGUGAGAGUGGAAAGUUCACACUGUGACGUAUCUACCAGAAA
RNAcentral lists this ribosomal RNA (477 nucleotides) under Streptococcus sanguinis. RNAcentral describes it as "bacterial SSU rRNA". It matches the Rfam family "Bacterial small subunit ribosomal RNA", at positions 28 to 489 of the family's 1533-position model. The record is from RNAcentral. Lineage: Bacteria; Bacillati; Bacillota; Bacilli; Lactobacillales; Streptococcaceae.